UUCUCAACCAAUACAGCAACCUGUAGUUACGGAAGGUUUCGACGACCAACAGCUGAAUUUACCAACAAUUGUUUCCUCAGAAGCUUCAUUUCGAUGCACUGGAAACGAAUCGAAAUUAAAGCAACCCCAACCAAGAGUGACAAAAUUCAACGACAUACGGUACUACGAACAUCUCUUUUACUCUUUUUUUUUUAUAGUUAUGAACCAAAAAGAUGUAAUCUAUAUAUAUAUAUGUUGUUUGACAGGACGUCGACAGCAGUUAAAUCGUUUUUACAGAGUCCAGUUCCGGCAACAACAGCAUCGCGAAAAGUCUUGAAUGCUGUAUCUACUACCACAACAACAACAAGUAGUAACAUUAACAAAACACCACUUCGAAUGAGACGGCAAAAGGAAAUCAGUGAUAAUAAACCGAAUUUGAAAAGAAAAUAAAAAAUGAAGCAAGUUAUUUAUGUUUAGCAAAUUAUUAAUGUUUUUUCUUAACAGGAAGGAUGUGUAUAGAUGUUUGAACAUAUCGUGGUUAAUAUUAGGAUAGAAAAUCGAUUCAUUCAAAUCGUAACAAUAUAACAAGACAUAACCUGUAGUUUCAGAUGCGGAACGUGAGUCACGAGUUCAGGCGAGUCGCGAGUCACGGAUGUCGGAGUCGUGGAACCGCGAUUCCGCGAUGAGGAACCGCGAUUACCAACCUUCACUCGCGUGCAUACUCGUGUGCAUAAUAAAUUAAUUCUUUUCUCUUUUGGUAUCAAUUUUCACCAUGAGUGUGCCGUGUGCGGAUGUAGUGAGAAUAAUAUUAAUUUUAAUUCCAGUCAGAGUAAAUUAUAUUAAAAAAAUCCAAUAGUUUUUGACACCAAAACAUUAAUUGUUAAUUCAUCACAUGAUUCAUACCAAUUGCUUUUGCAGAUGACGUGGCUUUCUUUAGUCGAGUAAAAGAUUUCACCUUCAGAUCAACAAUUGAAGAUAAGAUUCAAGACUGGCCAUACCGUGAAAGUGUAAGACCAAUAAUAAGUGAAUAAUAAAACAAACAAUAAUUCAGUAAACUUUCUUCAAGCAAUUUCUGUGUAUAUCCCCUAUAAUUUUUCCAUUUUUU
RNAcentral lists this long non-coding RNA (1084 nucleotides) under Zostera marina. RNAcentral describes it as "long non-coding RNA (ZMAR_LNC001544)". The record is from RNAcentral. Lineage: Eukaryota; Viridiplantae; Streptophyta; Magnoliopsida; Alismatales; Zosteraceae.